RNAcentral lists this long non-coding RNA (324 nucleotides) under Spirodela polyrhiza (greater duckweed). RNAcentral's name for it is "long non-coding RNA (SPOL_LNC001847)". The record is from RNAcentral. Lineage: Eukaryota; Viridiplantae; Streptophyta; Magnoliopsida; Alismatales; Araceae.
GGAUCAACUAUGGUGCAGCAGCUAUGGAUUGGGAAUCCAUGGAUUCAGAAGCAGUGUCUCGACCUGACCAGAAAGAGAAGUGAAUCAGUUGGGGAAGUGGUAGAGUACCAGUUGUCGAUCAACCGGUCUUACCUCAGGAGUCGACAUAGGAGGAGUGUUUUACCUCUCACAGAAAGGAAUUAAUCUAUUAACAGGCUUUGCAUUGCAACUGGGAAUUCAAAAAAAUCCCUUAUUUUAGUCCUAAAUCAAUACCUAUCCUAUCAUACGAUAUUUGUCUUUCUUUAGUUCUGGAGGUUUCAAAACUGGAAGUUGAGAAGCAAGGUA